RNAcentral lists this long non-coding RNA (826 nucleotides) under Anser cygnoides (Swan goose). RNAcentral's name for it is "lncRNA (ENSACDG00005017158.1)". Lineage: Eukaryota; Metazoa; Chordata; Aves; Anseriformes; Anatidae. The record is from RNAcentral.
GUAGUUUUGCCUCCUGUGUUGCUCCUGUAUGGACCCUGGACAUCAGUCAUCAGCUUGCAGUGCCUUGGGCAGUCAAUGGACCUUGUUUUCAGCACACAACUUGGAUGCUGCAGGACUACACUUAGGUUUAUCAAGACUUGCUAGUUCCCAUCUCUACCAUGCCAUGUGAAAACUACUCCAAGGCAGAGCCAUGCUCCAAAGAACUCAGCCCAAAAAUACUGCUCACAACUGUGCUUGCUGAACCUAUUCACCCAGCAAUGAAUACUCCAGAUGACUUCAAUCUCAAAGGCUCUCCAGGAGAAAGAAGACCAAAAUGGCAUGACUGUAACCUGAUCUGAAAGGCAAGGUCUGUCUGUGCUUGUAAACAAGGUGAUCUCAGACUGGCCAUUUUAAGCGGUGAGUUAAGUGUGGUUCAGUGUUGUGUAUGCUGCAGAAAGCCCUAUAUGAAAUCCCCUAUUCUUUCAUGUGUUUUCAAAAGCCAGUUGAAUGUUAAUCAAGGUAUAAUCUUCCAGCUAGUCCUAGUAAAGGAAGAUUUUUUUAUUUAUUAAUUUAUAUAUCUUUAAAAUCAAUCUAGAUUGCUAAAUACAUGGUAAUAUUUUAAUUAGUGAGGAAAAAAUAACAUAAUUGAAGCAAAUCAGGAUUUCAGUUUUUCAAUGUCUGUACAUUCAGGAAGUGGAACAUAAACAACCCAUGCCAAAUCACUAUCAAUGGAAGACCAAAGUUGUUACUGUUCUGAAUUGACUUCAACUUCAGUUUGUUACAUGCACAGAAAAAAAAAAAAAAAAAAAGUAAUAAAAAGGACUCUUGGAAAAAUAAAAAGGUAGGC